Molecule: transfer RNA, 69 nt
Filed under: Sinotaia quadrata
Lineage: Eukaryota; Metazoa; Mollusca; Gastropoda; Architaenioglossa; Viviparidae
Description: tRNA-Gln
Source: RNAcentral
UAUUUUACGGUGUUUGAGCACGAAGGGUUUUGAACUCUAAGGAAGGAUUUAAGUACAUCCUUUUAAUAA